Molecule: transfer RNA, 93 nt
Filed under: Salmo salar (Atlantic salmon)
Lineage: Eukaryota; Metazoa; Chordata; Actinopteri; Salmoniformes; Salmonidae
Rfam family: tRNA
About the family: Transfer RNA (tRNA) molecules are approximately 80 nucleotides in length. Their secondary structure includes four short double-helical elements and three loops (D, anti-codon, and T loops).
Source: Rfam by way of RNAcentral
UUCCCUGUGGCUCAGUUGGUAGAGCAUGGUGUUUGCACACACCAUGCUGGCAUUGCAACGCCAGGGUUGUGGGUUCGAUUCCCAUGGGGGGGG